This 492-nucleotide ribosomal RNA is filed under the name uncultured bacterium. Its description in RNAcentral is "partial 16S ribosomal RNA". It matches the Rfam family "Bacterial small subunit ribosomal RNA", at positions 29 to 507 of the family's 1533-position model. The record is from RNAcentral.
AGUGAACGCUGGCGGUAGGCCUAACACAUGCAAGUCGAACGGCAGCACAGUAAGAGCUUGCUCUUACGGGUGGCGAGUGGCGGACGGGUGAGGAAUACAUCGGAAUCUACUUUUUCGUGGGGGAUAACGUAGGGAAACUUACGCUAAUACCGCAUACGACCUACGGGUGAAAGCAGGGGAUCUUCGGACCUUGCGCGAUUGAAUGAGCCGAUGUCGGAUUAGCUAGUUGGCGGGGUAAAAGCCCACCAAGGCGACGAUCCGUAGCUGGUCUGAGAGGAUGAUCAGCCACACUGGAACUGAGACACGGUCCAGACUCCUACGGGAGGCAGCAGUGGGGAAUAUUGGACAAUGGGCGCAAGCCUGAUCCAGCCAUACCGCGUGGGUGAAGAAGGCCUUCGGGUUGUAAAGCCCUUUUGUUGGGAAAGAAAAGCAGCAGGUUAAUACCCCGCUGUUCUGACGGUACCCAAAGAAUAAGCACCGGCUAACUUCAUG